This is a non-coding RNA of Paramisgurnus dabryanus, 439 nucleotides long. NCBI's taxonomy places the organism in Eukaryota, Metazoa, Chordata, Actinopteri, Cypriniformes, Cobitidae. The record is from RefSeq and is a predicted model, not a curated record.
CUUGUCAUUUUUCACUCCUUUUGUUUUUAAUGUCUAUAUAGUAUUGUCUACAAUACCAAAUUCUGGAUUGACGCCCCAGUACCAGAAGGCACUCCAAUCCCAGAGAGCAUCCCAUUGUGAGGUAACACAACGAAAAAAUAACAGGAUGGAGACUACCUGAUUCUUCACCUAUGGCCUUAGCUUCAAAUGCAAGAAGUCCAGCAACUGUCUGAGCUGGUGGAUAUUCUAUCAGAGACUGCAUGAACAACGUUAUGAACAGAUGCUGUGAGGAGGUGGAGCCCAAAAGCCACGGACUCGGAAAUCGAUGCAGCUAUGGCAGACCACCUCAAGCACGCUCCAGGAAGAGAGCUAGGGGUUGUGAAUACAAAAAAUAAGCCAAACAGAUGUAAUGUGUUAGAAAAAAGUUCACACAAAAAUAAAAAUUGUUAUAAUUUUCUUA